This 377-nucleotide ribosomal RNA is filed under the name Chloropicon mariensis. RNAcentral's name for it is "partial Bacterial small subunit ribosomal RNA". It matches the Rfam family "Bacterial small subunit ribosomal RNA", at positions 1145 to 1522 of the family's 1533-position model. Lineage: Eukaryota; Viridiplantae; Chlorophyta; Chloropicophyceae; Chloropicales; Chloropicaceae. The record is from RNAcentral.
GAGACUGCCGGGGUUAACUCGGAGGAAGGUGGGGAUGACGUCAAAUCAUCAUGCCCCUUAUGUCUAGGGCUGCAAACAUGCUACAAUGGCCGGUACAAAGGGCUGCGAUACCGCGAGGUGGAGCGAAUCCCAAAAAGCCGGUCUCAGUUCGGAUUGGGGUCUGCAACUCGACCCCAUGAAGUCGGAGUCGCUAGUAAUCGCAGAUCAGCAACGCUGCGGUGAAUACGUUCCCGGGCCUUGUACACACCGCCCGUCACACCAUGGGAGUGGGUUGCAAAAGAAGUAGGUAGCUUAACCUUCGGGAGGGCGCUUACCACUUUGUGAUUCAUGACUGGGGUGAAGUCGUAACAAGGUAGCCGUAGGAACCUGCGGCUGGA